Molecule: ribosomal RNA, 466 nt
Filed under: uncultured bacterium
Lineage: Bacteria
Description: partial 16S ribosomal RNA
Rfam family: Bacterial small subunit ribosomal RNA
Source: RNAcentral
GACGAACGCUGGCGGCGCGCCUAACACAUGCAAGUCGAACGAGCGAGAGAGAGCUUGCUUUCUCGAGCGAGUGGCGAACGGGUGAGUAACGCGUGAGGAACCUGCCUCAAAGAGGGGGACAACAGUUGGAAACGACUGCUAAUACCGCAUAAGCCCACGACCCGGCAUCGGGUAGAGGGAAAAGGAGCAAUCCGCUUUGAGAUGGCCUCGCGUCCGAUUAGCUAGUUGGUGAGGUAACGGCCCACCAAGGCGACGAUCGGUAGCCGGACUGAGAGGUUGAACGGCCACAGUGGGACUGAGACACGGCCCAGACUCCUACGGGAGGCAGCAGUGGGGAAUAUUGCACAACGGGGGAAACCCUGAUGCAGCGACGCCGCGUGGAGGAAGAAGGUCUUCGGAUUGUAAACUCCUGUUGUUGAGGAAGAUAAUGACGGUACUCAAAAAGGAAGUGACGGCUAACUACGUG